CGCUAGUCAACACCAAGUUAAAUUAGGCUAAGUGAUGUUGGGCCACAAUUGGGUCAACAUUUAAGUUUAUCGGGCUAAUAGUCCAACAGAAAGCAAAAUAAUCAAAGAUAUCUGGGGGAUGAUAUGAUCAUAGAUACAAUAAUAGGUUUAUACAAGAAAUAAGUCACUAAUCUCUCUUUGUUGCAGGUUUUUCAAGAUUCGAGGUUGA
RNAcentral lists this long non-coding RNA (208 nucleotides) under Vigna radiata. RNAcentral's name for it is "long non-coding RNA (VRAD_LNC009906)". The record is from RNAcentral. Lineage: Eukaryota; Viridiplantae; Streptophyta; Magnoliopsida; Fabales; Fabaceae.